Molecule: ribosomal RNA, 447 nt
Filed under: uncultured bacterium
Lineage: Bacteria
Description: partial 16S ribosomal RNA
Rfam family: Bacterial small subunit ribosomal RNA
Source: RNAcentral
AACGAACGCUGGCGGCAGGCUUAACACAUGCAAGUCGAACGCCCCGCAAGGGGAGUGGCAGACGGGUGAGUAACGCGUGGGAAUCUACCCAUCUCUACGGAAUAACUCAGGGAAACUUGUGCUAAUACCGUAUACGCCCUUCGGGGGAAAGAUUUAUCGGAGAUGGAUGAGCCCGCGUUGGAUUAGCUAGUUGGUGGGGUAAAGGCCUACCAAGGCGACGAUCCAUAGCUGGUCUGAGAGGAUGAUCAGCCACAUUGGGACUGAGACACGGCCCAAACUCCUACGGGAGGCAGCAGUGGGGAAUAUUGGACAAUGGGCGCAAGCCUGAUCCAGCCAUGCCGCGUGAGUGAUGAAGGCCUUAGGGUUGUAAAGCUCUUUCACCGGAGAAGAUAAUGACGGUAUCCGGAGAAGAAGCCCCGGCUAACUUCGUGCCAGCCGCCGCAGUAA